Molecule: ribosomal RNA, 1483 nt
Filed under: uncultured bacterium
Lineage: Bacteria
Description: bacterial SSU rRNA
Rfam family: Bacterial small subunit ribosomal RNA
Source: RNAcentral
GAGAGUUUGAUCCUGGCUCAGGACGAACGCUGGCGGCGUGCCUAACACAUGCAAGUCGAACGGAGAUAUUUAGAAGCUUGCUUUGGAUAUCUUAGUGGCGGACGGGCGAGUAACGCGUGAGCAACCUGUCCUUCAGAGGGGGACAACGGCUGGAAACGGCCGCUAAUACCGCAUGACAUAUCCGGAUGGCAUCGUCUGGAUAUCAAAGGAGAAAUCCGCUGAAGGGUGGGCUCGCGUCCGAUUAGCUAGUUGGUAGGGUAACGGCCUACCAAGGCGACGAUCGGUAGCCGAACUGAGAGGUUGAUCGGCCGCAUUGGGACUGAGACACGGCCCAGACUCCUACGGGAGGCAGCAGUGAGGGAUAUUGGGCAAUGGGGGAAACCCUGACCCAGCAACGCCGCGUGAGGGAAGAAGGUCUUCGGAUUGUAAACCUAAGUAGUCAGGGACGAAGAAAUGACGGUACCUGAAGAGUAAGCUCCGGCUAACUACGUGCCAGCAGCCGCGGUAAUACGUAGGGAGCGAGCGUUGUCCGGAUUUACUGGGUGUAAAGGGUGCGUAGGCGGGCUGUCAAGUCAGAUGUGAAAUACCGGAGCUCAACUCCGGGGCUGCAUUUGAAACUGAUGGUCUUGAGUGAAGUAGAGGCAGGCGGAAUUCCUAGUGUAGCGGUGAAAUGCGUAGAUAUUAGGAGGAACACCAGUGGCGAAGGCGGCCUGCUGGGCUUUAACUGACGCUGAGGCACGAAAGCAUGGGGAGCAAACAGGAUUAGAUACCCUGGUAGUCCAUGCUGUAAACGAUGAUAGCUAGGUGUGGGAGGACUGACCCCUACCGUGCCGGAGUAAACACAAUAAGCUAUCCACCUGGGGAGUACGAUCGCAAGAUUGAAACUCAAAGGAAUUGACGGAGGCCCGCACAAGCAGUGGAGUAUGUGGUUUAAUUCGACGCAACGCGAAGAACCUUACCAGGUCUUGACAUCCAACUAACGAGGCAGAGAUGCGUCAGGUGCCCUUCGGGGAAAGUUGAGACAGGUGGUGCAUGGUUGUCGUCAGCUCGUGUCGUGAGAUGUUGGGUUAAGUCCCGCAACGAGCGCAACCCUUGUCCUUAGUUGCUACGGAAGAGCACUCUAAGGAGACUGCCGUUGACAAAACGGAGGAAGGUGGGGACGACGUCAAAUCAUCAUGCCCUUUAUGACCUGGGCUACACACGUACUACAAUGGCCAUUAACAAAGGGAAGCAAGACCGCGAGGUGGAGCAAAACCCCAAAAAUGGUCCCAGUUCGGAUUGCAGGCUGCAACCCGCCUGUAUGAAGUUGGAAUUGCUAGUAAUCGCGGAUCAGCAUGCCGCGGUGAAUACGUUCCCGGGCCUUGUACACACCGCCCGUCACACCAUGGGAGCCGGUAAUACCCGAAGUCAGUAGUCUAACCGCAAGGAGGACGCUGCCGAAGGUAGGAUUGGCGACUGGGGUGAAGUCGUAACAAGGUAGCCG